This 285-nucleotide ribosomal RNA is filed under the name uncultured bacterium. Its description in RNAcentral is "partial 16S ribosomal RNA". It matches the Rfam family "Bacterial small subunit ribosomal RNA", at positions 123 to 406 of the family's 1533-position model. The record is from RNAcentral.
AACGUACCCAGUGGUGGGGGAUAACGCAGCGAAAGCUGCGCUAAUACCGCAUACGCUCUCUGGAGGAAAGUGGGGGACCUGUAAAAAGGCCUCACGCUAUUGGAGCGGCCGAUAUCUGAUUAGCUAGUUGGUGAGGUAAAGGCUCACCAAGGCAACGAUCAGUAGCUGGUCUGAGAGGACGACCAGCCACACUGGAACUGAGACACGGCCCAGACUCCUACGGGAGGCAGCAGUGGGGAAUUUUGGACAAUGGGGGGAACCCUGAUCCAGCAAUGCCGCGUGAGU